This 71-nucleotide transfer RNA is filed under the name Podarcis lilfordi (Lilford's wall lizard). RNAcentral's name for it is "tRNA.Arg". It matches the Rfam family "tRNA". Rfam says of the family: Transfer RNA (tRNA) molecules are approximately 80 nucleotides in length. Lineage: Eukaryota; Metazoa; Chordata; Lepidosauria; Squamata; Lacertidae. The record is from RNAcentral.
GCAGAUAGCUCAGUUGGUAGAGCAUGAGACUCCUAAUCUCAGGGUUGUGGGUUCGAACCCCACGCUGGGCA